GUUGGUGUAGUGUAUGGUACACAGCUGCCUUCUGUGGUUGAGGCGAAUGUGAAAUUUGCAGGCAGCAGACCAGGUUCAAUUCCUGGCACCCACA
Mycena metata is the source of this 94-nucleotide non-coding RNA. The record is from the annotation of a GenBank genome assembly. Lineage: Eukaryota; Fungi; Basidiomycota; Agaricomycetes; Agaricales; Mycenaceae.